Molecule: long non-coding RNA, 1369 nt
Organism: Cucumis melo (muskmelon)
Lineage: Eukaryota; Viridiplantae; Streptophyta; Magnoliopsida; Cucurbitales; Cucurbitaceae
Exons: 2
Source: RefSeq, a predicted model, not a curated record
GCUCAUUUCCUUCUUCAAACGCAAAAACCAUUUUCCCUUCUUUGAACGCCGCUGAAAGUCUCUGUCCCCGUCUCUUCUUCUUUCGUUCUUUUCUUCCCGAUUCUUCUUUCUGGUAUGCGUUUUCUCUAUUUCUCUCUGUUUUUAAACUUCCUUUUCCCAUUUGAUUCUCGUAAAUACGACUUCUUACGAUGAUCAAUUUUGCAUGCUCUUUGAUUUCGAGCUUAUUCAUUCGUGGAAUUGAAUUGCUAGCUCUUUUCUAUGUUUUGGUUAUCUCGAGCAUGUUAACCGGUGAAACUUUUAGUGUUUAGAGUUUAGUGUCGUGUCUGAUUGGUGAGUUAAGUGUGGAAGAAACUAGAGUUUUCUUUUUUGAUUUCUUCGUGAUUGAUGAGGACUGGGGGAUUUUAAGAUAAAGAAAAUUUCUACUUGCGAGUUAAGCAUUCAAAAUGAAACCAUUGGGUAAGAUGUGUCAAAUCCUGAAUUAUAAUUUUCGUUGAGUAUUAUUUGAUAAAAUGUAGAAGCCUUUCGUAUUAGAUAUAUAUUUUUUUUUUUGGUAUAUAAAAUGUUGGAAAGGAUUUGUAGAGACCACAAGCAUAUGCAAUCAUUGGUAUUCUAAUCCUCCAUGGAUCAAAAUUUUGCUGUCUUUUUCCAUGCACCUGAAUUUUUUUUGCAAUUUUUAAGAGCACGCCAGAAGAAAUGUAGUUUAUCACCUCUGUUCUGAAGGUAUGGUUUUUUCUGUUAUCUUUGUUUGUGUUUAUAGGAGAUUGGGAUGAUUUUGGAUUUUAUUAAGUGGGGUUUCAUUUAUUUUUUGGUUGAUGAUUAUAGUUCAGUUUUAUUGACUCAUUAUGGAAAGACUGUUGAGAAAGAAGACUUUGAAUAAGUUGCAAAAUUAAAACUGUUUGUGUUAUAGUUUCAACUUGAGGUGGCUAGCAAGGAAAAAAUGACAUCUUUGUUUUGAAUUUUUAAAUUUAUUGCUAUUAUUAGUUUAUUUUUAGGUUUAUUCUUGAUGAUCAAAAAAACCCGAGUCUCUAGUGCAUAAUACUUUUGUGAAAAAUAUGGUAUGGCACUCAAAUUUUCAUCUCUACCGGCUAUACGAGCUCGUAAUUAUACAAAGCCCAUUUAUUUGCCUAUGGAGGUUUUGCAAGAAUCCAUUAGAGCAGUAAAGUCAUAUUGGAGCAAUUGAUUGAUUUAUAGGUCUUUUUGUAGGUUUGGUAGCAAAAUUUUGGUUGAAAGCUACUUAUUUAAAUAGCUUGUUGGCACCAAAACAUGUAUGUUUAUUCUAUCAUUGGACAAACCCUUUACCAACAAUUGUACAAAUAUUACAAAGUGUAUGUUAGCGUAUAUAUAUUAAAGCGUUGACAGUUUGUUUUCA